GGCCUAACACAUGCAAGUCGAGGGGUAACAGGGAGUGCUUGCACUCAGCUGACGACCGGCGCACGGGUGCGUAACGCGUAUGCAAUCUACCUCUUACUGAGGGAUAGCCCAUGGAAACGUGGAUUAAUACCUCAUAGUAUUAUAGACUGGCCUCAGUUUAUGAUUAAAGGUUACGGUAAGAGAUGAGCAUGCGUCCUAUUAGCUAGAUGGUAAGGUAACGGCUUACCAUGGCUACGAUAGGUAGGGGUCCUGAGAGGGAGAUCCCCCACACUGGUACUGAGACACGGACCAGACUCCUACGGGAGGCAGCAG
RNAcentral lists this ribosomal RNA (312 nucleotides) under Paramoeba aestuarina. RNAcentral describes it as "partial Bacterial small subunit ribosomal RNA". It matches the Rfam family "Bacterial small subunit ribosomal RNA", at positions 46 to 354 of the family's 1533-position model. Lineage: Eukaryota; Discosea; Flabellinia; Dactylopodida; Paramoebidae. The record is from RNAcentral.